This is a non-coding RNA of Oncorhynchus mykiss (rainbow trout), 4015 nucleotides long. The record is from RefSeq and is a predicted model, not a curated record. Lineage: Eukaryota; Metazoa; Chordata; Actinopteri; Salmoniformes; Salmonidae.
GGGGGCAGGGUCUUUCAGGCUGCUUUAGAGACCAGAGAGAAGUGGUCCAGCCUAAGAGGAGAGAGGGGAUGCUGGAGAGCUGCUAUUGUUGUGCCCCGUGCCUCAGCUUCCUAGUCUAACUGCUGGGUAGAAGAGAGAACGAGAGACACUGAAAGGAUAAGCACCUCUUUUUUUUGUUCUGUCUUUUAUUCUUUCUUUCAAUCUUUCUUUCUCUGUCUGUAUGUCUCCAUCACCCUGUUUUCCUCAGUGUGGGGGCGAAAUUGUGGUUUAGGUAAGCUGAACAAAUUGCUGCAUGGUUUUCACUGUGUCAUCCUGUUAGUUUUGACCAGGAUUUAUUUUGUCUUGGAAUAGUAGCUAUAGCUGUAGGGUAAUUUAGCUAAGUACUGUAGGGUGAUUUCCCAAUUUCAGUUUUUUUGUAUCUUUUUAGGGCGUUUUCUUUCAGGUCCAACCAAGAGUGGAUUGUAAUGAUCUAUUUUUUUAAAUCUUCAAAUUGGUUGCUUUGAUUAUUUCAGUGGUUAACUGUCUAAAUGCUUUCCUUUUUCCAUCAUUAGUUCUGGUAUGAAUUUCAUCCUGGCAGUCAUGCAUAAUGUAAUUGUCAGACAUACACAUUUUUUAAGGGUUGAACGGUGAAGUCGGGAAUAACAGUUUCUUAAUAUAUAUCUGGAGGUUGUGGAGAUGCAGAUGAAGUCUUUUUCUAUUACAAAACAAUUAAUGAAGUAAUUGUAGAUCUUCAAUCAAUUAUUAUUAUUAUUUUUUACAUCGAAUCAAUGGAAUGAUUUUGGAUAGGCUUAGUUGGAGCCUGCUAUUUGCAUUCAUGUGAGCAAAUCAAUUAGAGUCGGUUGGAAUGAAAUUGCUUUUGACUUAUCAUACAUUAUUUAUGUCUUCAUAGCGGCAUUUAAUUAUUACUUUAAUUUGGAAAAUGAUCUUCAAAAAUUCAGGGCCUUUGGUGAAUUAACAUUUCACAAUAACACACCUCACAUUUUACAUCAACAACACAUUUCAAAAUGUAUUUUAUUCAGAAUAAUUUAAAGAACGAUAUUAUUUUGAUUCUGGCAAAUUUGUGCAGAUUACAUUUAAUUUAAUUUAAUUUAUUAUAUUAAAUAUAGGAAUAGUAGGUGUAUGUUUUGGAAUAAAAUCUCAAGCGACCCCUGUUGUCUCUGUUAGUCUGACAUUCAGGACAAAAUAAUCUUCAAAUAGUCCAUGUUUUAUACCUGCCUCCUGGCAUUCUCUCGGUUUGUUUGAUUUGACCAGAUUCUUUAGGAGGAGGGGGUUGGGUUGACCGUGGGAUGUUAAUGGAAUGUACUAGACUAUGGUAUUAUGGAUGGUUUAAAAGGCCAUGGGUGGUUGUGGUUGUGACCCUUAACCUCUACAUCUCUGUGUUUCCAGGAGGUUUCAUUAUGUGUGGAUAUGCUGGUGUGGGCUGAGAGCGAAAGAGAGAGAGAGCAGGACAGGGCUAAAAUGGGCAUCUCUUCCUCCUUAUGGAUCGCUCCUGGAGGACAGGACCACCAGGACUUCCAAGGAGGGCAGGGCUUCAGACCACCUCUGGCCCAGAAAAACCUUUGAAGGGGCCUUGUGUUGUGCUUCAAGGCGUCUUCAAUCAAUUAUGUUGAUACAGCGUCUUUCUCUGUGUUGCUUGCCAUUGGGAUCGACUGAGGAAUUUGAUGAUGCGGUCACGCUUGCUUGCGAUUCCCAUUAUUGCCUCUCUGUGUUUAAGAUUCUCUUCGGUGACGGGUAUUCUUGGGUGUAUAAUACGGAUCACGUUGUUAUUGCUUAAGAAUACGCGUAGUCGAGGAGAGUCCUCUUCUUCUUCUUCGUCUGUCUUCGUCUGCAGCUGAGGACUAUUGAUCAGAUCGAAGCAGCUCAAAGUACCCCGUUACCUGUUUCCUUUUAAUACUGAGGAGUUGGCACACAGAAACACAAACCGUAGAGACUGACUGACAUCCAGGCCCAUUUAUCAAGCAAGGAGACAGAGCACUGCCGGCUGCCUAUCUGUUUCAGUGAUGAUUGUGCUGUCCAGUCUUGAGAUAGUGUCGACCAACCACUCUCGUCUGCAGUUUUUUUUUUUUAAACCCCCCCCCUCCCCACCCUUUUUCAUAAUUUUUAUACUGUGUUGUUGUCGUUUUGUCACAGAUGUUUCAGAUGUCACAUGUUUAUUUGACCAUUAUCAUGUCCAGUAUAUGAAAGUGUAUUUGCAUAUAUUCAUGCUGAAUUAUGUAUUUGUGUUGUGUGGUAGAUAUGCUACAGUGAGUGUGUAUUUCAUCGGCUUCUGAUACAACCGGAUAGUGUUGUUGUGCAGUUAUAGCAGAGGUUAGACUGCAUGGCCCUGGUCCUCUCUCAUGCAAAUCUCUCGAGUCUAUUUAUUAUCAGUCGUCCAGACCAAGCACUCUUUUCCUCCUUCUCCUUUUUUUAUGCAAAUUGAUUUUGAAAUGACAUUUAUCGCGUUGGGUUUUCCACACGAAAGAGCUGCCACACCGGAGCCCAGACAACAAAAUGUCCACCGCUCUAGCGAGAGCUCAAUUUAUGCAUUGGAGGAGAGUGGGUCUCGAUAACAAUUACCACAGGCUCAAAUAGACCAUAACCGGGUUUUCCAUGUUAUCAUAUGUAUGUUAUAUGCCAUGAAUAUGUAUCAGUCAGUCCCCCUGGUCGGAUGCAGGGUGCAUUCUGAACCCUAACACCCAUGUAAAAUCCAUUUGAACACCAUUAUAGAAACUACUUAACUUAUAGAGCCUCACUCAAGAUUCCCCUCCAGAAUUUUGUUUAAUGUCUAUUAAAUGUCAUAAAAAAACUAAAUGUAUGGUAUUUAAUAUUCAAAAGGUUUUCGUUUUUUUUUUUUUUUUUUUUACAAGCAUUCUUUGUCUUUUAAGCUAAACAACUGGUCUUGAUUACUAUCAUACAAAUUAAUUAAACUAGCUGUACUAAUACCAUUUCAGAUAUUGAAAUGAACACAAUUAUAUGUUAACUGCUUGGCUCGCUUGAUAAGAAAGAAACAACAGAAGCUUGGUUGACCCCAUAUUUCACCACUAUGGAAACUACAUAUCUGAUAAAGAUCAUAUCAGAAUGUACUUUGGAUAUCACCUUCUGUAGUGGAUCUAAAUGAUUUCCGAAAAUACAUCUACAUGGAGAAAGACGGGGGGGGGGGGGGUAGACAUACGUCUAACAUGUUGUGCUUCAAUGAAUCUCUGUAUUUUCUGUUUUGAAACAAACCAGGCCCUUGCUGCUGAACCAUUAUUUACCUAACCAUGAUCACGUGGUGUGGUCCUGAUCAAUUCAGCUGCUGAACCAUUCUUUACCUAACCAUGAUCACGUGGUGUGGUCCUGAUCAAUUCAGCUGCUGAACCAUUCUUUACCUAACCAUGAUCACGUGGUGUGGUCCUGAUCAAUUCAGCUGCUGAACCAUUCUUUACCUAACCAUGAUCACGUGGUGUGGUCCUGAUCAAUUCAGCUGCUGAACCAUUCGUUGCCUAUGCCUGCUUUUUGGAUUUUCUCUUGUCACGUUUACAUUACAUUACUAGUAGACAAUGUCAAUUAUCCUGAUAGACAGUAAGAAUGUCAGAGCCAAUAGUCAAAUGUAUAGAUUCAGUGAAUUGAGCAUGACAUUUAUUAUUUAUUGAACACAUCUUAAUUUACAAGAAUAGUAUUAUAAAUGGAUCCCUGUUAUUUUUCAUAUAUUCUAGCAAUAGUCUGCUUUCCUACAAAGUAUACUUGCACACAAAUAUGACGUUUAUUCAUCUUUAAGUAUGACUACAUUUGUUAUUAUAACAAAUGUAUUAACAUCCUUUAAAUUCACUAAAUAUGUUACAGUAAUAUACAUUGGAAAUCCAAUGACAUUAAAUACAAUAGCUAUCUGAUAGUUUGCAUGAUUUCCUUUUUCAUUUAGGUGUGUUUAAUUCAUAGCGUAUCAUUGUUUUAGUGAUAAUGUAUUACACAAACACAGCUGCAAUGUAAAAUAAAAUGCCAAUGACCCAUGUAUUGUAAAAGUGCCUUAUUCUAUAAAUAAAAUGUCACAAAAGAUAAA